Molecule: ribosomal RNA, 253 nt
Filed under: uncultured bacterium
Lineage: Bacteria
Description: partial 16S ribosomal RNA
Rfam family: Bacterial small subunit ribosomal RNA
Source: RNAcentral
UACGUAGGGUGCGAGCGUUAUUCGGAAUUACUGGGCGUAAAGCGUGCGCAGGCGGUUUUGUAAGUCUGCUGUGAAAUCCCCGGGCUUAACCUGGGAAUGGCAUUUGGGACUGCAAGGCUUGAGUGCGGCAGAGGAGACUAGAAUUCCUGGUGUAGCAGUGAAAUGCGUAGAUAUCAGGAGGAAUACCGAUGGCGAAGGCAGGUCUCUGGGCUGACACUGACGCUCAUGCACGAAAGCGUGGGGAGCAAACAGG